UAGAUGGAAGCCCGUUUGGUUGGGGCAUUUAGCUGUUAACUAGAGUUUUGUGGGAUCGAGGCCCACCCAUCUAG
RNAcentral lists this transfer RNA (74 nucleotides) under Corythaeola cristata (great blue turaco). RNAcentral's name for it is "tRNA-Asn". The record is from RNAcentral. Lineage: Eukaryota; Metazoa; Chordata; Aves; Musophagiformes; Musophagidae.